UACAGAGGGGGCAAGCGUUAAUCGGAAUUACUGGGCGUAAAGCGUGCGUAGACGGUUGCGUAAGUCAGAUGUGAAAGCCCCGGGCUCAACCUGGGAAUUGCAUUUGAGACUGCGUAGCUAGGGUGCGGAAGAGGGAAGCGGAAUUUCCGGUGUAGCGGUGAAAUGCGUAGAUAUCGGAAGGAACACCAGUGGCGAAAGCGGCUUCCUGGUCCAGCACCGACGUUCAGGCACGAAAGCGUGGGGAGCAAACAGG
This 253-nucleotide ribosomal RNA is filed under the name uncultured bacterium. Its description in RNAcentral is "partial 16S ribosomal RNA". It matches the Rfam family "Bacterial small subunit ribosomal RNA", at positions 524 to 776 of the family's 1533-position model. The record is from RNAcentral.